CCUACGGGAGGCAGCAGUAGGGAAUUUUCGUCAAUGGGCGCAAGCCUGAACGAGCAAUGCCGCGUGAACGAGGAAGGUCUUCGGAUCGUAAAGUUCUGUUGAAGGGGAAAAAGAGCGGAGAGAGGAAAUGGUCUCCGAUUGAUAUUACCCUUCGAGGAAGUCACGGCUAACUACGUGCCAGCAGCCGCGGUAAUACGUAGGUGGCGAGCGUUAUCCGGAAUGAUUGGGCGUAAAGGGUGCGUAGGCGGCCUGCUAAGUCUGGAGUGAAAGGUACCGGCUCAACCGGUACAGGCUCUGGAAACUGGCGGGCUAGAGAGCAGGAGAGGGCGGUGGAACUCCAUGUGUAGCGGUAAAAUGCGUAGAUAUCACACAGAACACCGAUUGCGAAGGCAUCUCACGAAUCCGCGAUUGACGCUGAUGCACGAAAGCGUGGGUAUCAAACAGGAUUAGAUACCCCAGUAGUC
RNAcentral lists this ribosomal RNA (464 nucleotides) under uncultured bacterium. RNAcentral's name for it is "partial 16S ribosomal RNA". It matches the Rfam family "Bacterial small subunit ribosomal RNA", at positions 338 to 795 of the family's 1533-position model. The record is from RNAcentral.